This 460-nucleotide ribosomal RNA is filed under the name uncultured bacterium. RNAcentral describes it as "partial 16S ribosomal RNA". It matches the Rfam family "Bacterial small subunit ribosomal RNA", at positions 338 to 795 of the family's 1533-position model. The record is from RNAcentral.
CCUACGGGAGGCAGCAGUGAGGAAUAUUGGUCAAUGGGCGCGAGCCUGAACCAGCCAAGUCGCGUGAAGGAUGACUGCCCUACGGGUUGUAAACUUCUUUUAUAAAGGAAUAAAGUGAGGCACGUGUGCCUUUUUGUAUGUACUUUAUGAAUAAGGAUCGGCUAACUCCGUGCCAGCAGCCGCGGUAAUACGGAGGAUCCGAGCGUUAUCCGGAUUUAUUGGGUUUAAAGGGUGCGUAGGUGGGUUGUUAAGUCAGUUGUGAAAGUUUGGGGCUCAACCCUAAAAAUGCCAUUGAUACUGGCAGUCUUGAGUACAGGUGAGGUAGGCGGAAUGCGGGGUGUAGCGGUGAAAUGCUUAGAUAUCACGAAGAACUCCGAUUGCGAAGGCAGCUUACUAGCCUGCCACUGACGUUGAUGCACGAAAGUGUGGGUAUCGAACAGGAUUAGAUACCCUGGUAGUC